UACGGAGGGAGCUAGCGUUAUCCGGAAUUAUUGGGCGUAAAGCGCACGUAGGCGGCUCUGUAAGUUAGAGGUGAAAGCCCGGAGCUCAACUCCAGAAUUGCCUUUAAGACUGCAUCGCUCGAAUCCGGGAGAGGUGAGUGGAAUUCCGAGUGUAGAGGUGAAAUUCGUAGAUAUUCGGAAGAACACCAGUGGCGAAGGCGGCUCACUGGACCGGCAUUGACGCUGAGGUGCGAAAGCGUGGGGAGCAAACAGG
RNAcentral lists this ribosomal RNA (253 nucleotides) under uncultured bacterium. Its description in RNAcentral is "partial 16S ribosomal RNA". It matches the Rfam family "Bacterial small subunit ribosomal RNA", at positions 524 to 776 of the family's 1533-position model. The record is from RNAcentral.